Molecule: ribosomal RNA, 433 nt
Filed under: uncultured bacterium
Lineage: Bacteria
Description: partial 16S ribosomal RNA
Rfam family: Bacterial small subunit ribosomal RNA
Source: RNAcentral
AGCGAACGCUGGCGGCAGGCCUAACACAUGCAAGUCGAACGAACUCUUCGGAGUUAGUGGCGGUCGGGUGAGUACCACGUGGGAACGUGCCUUUUGGUUCGGAAUAACUCAGGGAAACUUGUGCUAAUACAGAAUGUGCUCUUCGCGGGUAAGAUGUAUCGCCACUGGCGCGGGGCGGGUCUGAUUAGCCGGUUGGUGAGGUACCGGCUCACCAACGCGACGAUCAGUAGCUGGUCUGAGAGGAUGCCUAUCCACACUGGGCCUGAGACCCGGCCCAGACUCCUACGCAGGGGAGCAGUAGAGAAUCUAGCGCAAUGGAGGAAAACCUAGCGCAGCCAUGCCGCGUAAAUGAUGAAUGUCUUAGUAUUGUAAAAUUCUUUCACCGGGGACGUUAAUGACGGUACCCGGAGAAGAAGCCCCGGCUAACUUCGUG